Molecule: long non-coding RNA, 410 nt
Filed under: Brassica napus (rape)
Lineage: Eukaryota; Viridiplantae; Streptophyta; Magnoliopsida; Brassicales; Brassicaceae
Description: long non-coding RNA (BNAP_LNC012508)
Source: RNAcentral
UUUUCGCUGAGCCUCGCCACGAACGUUAUCAGUAUGGAGAGGCUUGACCACUGUUUCAAUCAGGGUUAUGUCGUUUUCAUCUGCGGUUUUCAAGAAAGUAUAGGAGACAAUGAUAAUAACAAGAAUGAGGAGACAAAGGGCAACAACGGAUUAAUCUUGUUUAUAGUUGAAAAUUGUGCAGAUGAAGUCACUAAAAAUAGAAGUGAAAAUGUUUCUAGAGAUUUUAAGUAUAUAGGAGAGAGAGGAGGAGAACCUGGGUGAAAGAUAGAAAAGGUUUAUCAAAUUGUCAACAGCGCCAAAAACAGUGAAAUGAUGUUUACUUUUUUUUUGGCAAUAAAAGAUAUUUACUUAAUUAUUAUUUUUUGUUAUAUGGAACGGAGUCUAAAUACUAUAGCUGUAAAUUGGGCGAG